RNAcentral lists this ribosomal RNA (494 nucleotides) under uncultured bacterium. RNAcentral describes it as "partial 16S ribosomal RNA". It matches the Rfam family "Bacterial small subunit ribosomal RNA", at positions 28 to 507 of the family's 1533-position model. The record is from RNAcentral.
GACGAACGCUGGCGGCGCGCUUAACACAUGCCAGUCGAACGGAAAGGCCUGCUUUCCCUUGUGGAUUGCGGGUACUCGAGUGGCGAACGGGUGAGUAACACGUGAGUGAUCUGCCCCCAACUUGGGUAUAAGCCUGGGAAACUGGGUCUAAUUCCCGAUAGGACUGCAGGGUGGUGCCUGUGGUGGAAAACGAUUUUCUAGUGGUUGGGGAUGAGCUCGCGGCCUAUCAGCUUGUUGGUGGGGUAAUGGCCUACCAAGGCGGCGACGGGUAGCCGGCCUGAGAGGGUGGACGGCCACAUUGGGACUGAGAUACGGCCCAGACUCCUACGGGAGGCAGCAGUGGGGAAUAUUGCACAAUGGGCGGAAGCCUGAUGCAGCGACGCCGCGUGGGGGAUGACGGCCUUCGGGUUGUAAACUCCUUUCGACCGCGAGGAAGCCACCUGGGUGGAGGGGUGGUGACGGUAGUGGUAGAAGAAGCACCGGCUAACUACGUG